RNAcentral lists this transfer RNA (42 nucleotides) under Marattia alata. RNAcentral's name for it is "partial tRNA-Gly". It matches the Rfam family "tRNA", at positions 1 to 42 of the family's 71-position model. Rfam says of the family: Transfer RNA (tRNA) molecules are approximately 80 nucleotides in length. Lineage: Eukaryota; Viridiplantae; Streptophyta; Polypodiopsida; Marattiales; Marattiaceae. The record is from RNAcentral. RNAcentral also lists the same sequence under 1 other name.
GCGGGUAUAGUUUAGUGGUAAAACCUUAGCCUUCCAAGCUAG